This 828-nucleotide ribosomal RNA is filed under the name Richoniella sp. PDD 105098. RNAcentral describes it as "eukaryotic LSU rRNA". It matches the Rfam family "Eukaryotic large subunit ribosomal RNA", at positions 83 to 895 of the family's 3401-position model. The record is from RNAcentral. Lineage: Eukaryota; Fungi; Basidiomycota; Agaricomycetes; Agaricales; Entolomataceae.
KUAACUGCGAGUGAAGCGGGAAAAGCUCAAAUUUAAAAUCUGGUAGUCUUUGGCUAUCCGAGUUGUAAUCUAGAGAAGCGUUAUCCGCGCUGGACCGUGUAUAAGUCUCCUGGAACGGAGCGUCAUAGAGGGUGAGAAUCCCGUCUUUGACACGGACUCCCAGGGCUUUGUGAUGUGCUCUCAAAGAGUCGAGUUGUUUGGGAAUGCAGCUCUAAAUGGGUGGUAAAUUCCAUCUAAAGCUAAAUAUUGGCGAGAGACCGAUAGCGAACAAGUACCGUGAGGGAAAGAUGAAAAGAACUUUGGAAAGAGAGUUAAACAGUACGUGAAAUUGUUGAAAGGGAAACGCUUGAAGUCAGUCGCAUUGAUCAGGGAUCAACCUUGCUUUUUUGCUUGGUGUACUUCCUGGUUCAUGGGUCAGCAUCAAUUUUGACCAGUGGAAAAAGAUUAAGGGAAUGUGGCAUCUUCGGAUGUGUUAUAGCCUUUGGUCGCAUACAUUGGUUGGGAUUGAGGAACUCAGCACGCCGCAAGGCCGGGUUUUUAACCACGUUCGUGCUUAGGAUGCUGGCAUAAUGGCUUUAAUCGACCCGUCUUGAAACACGGACCAAGGAGUCUAACAUGCCUGCGAGUGUUUGGGUGGAAAACCCAAGCGCGUAAUGAAAGUGAAAGUUGGGAUCCCUGUCGUGGGGAGCACCGAUGCCCGGACCAGACCUUCUGUGACGGAUCCGCGGUUGAGCAUGUAUGUUGGGACCCGAAAGAUGGUGAACUAUGCCUGAAUAGGGUGAAGCCAGAGGAAACUCUGGUGGAGGCUCGUAGCGAUUCUGACGUGCA